Molecule: ribosomal RNA, 508 nt
Filed under: uncultured bacterium
Lineage: Bacteria
Description: partial 16S ribosomal RNA
Rfam family: Bacterial small subunit ribosomal RNA
Source: RNAcentral
GACGAACGCUGGCGGCGUGCCUAAUACAUGCAAGUCGAACGCUUCUUUCCUCCCGAGUGCUUGCACUCAAUUGGAAAGAGGAGUGGCGGACGGGUGAGUAACACGUGGGUAACCUACCCAUCAGAGGGGGAUAACACUUGGAAACAGGUGCUAAUACCGCAUAACAGUUUAUGCCGCAUGGCAUAAGAGUGAAAGGCGCUUUCGGGUGUCGCUGAUGGAUGGACCCGCGGUGCAUUAGCUAGUUGGUGAGGUAACGGCUCACCAAGGCCACGAUGCAUAGCCGACCUGAGAGGGUGAUCGGCCACACUGGGACUGAGACACGGCCCAGACUCCUACGGGAGGCAGCAGUAGGGAAUCUUCGGCAAUGGACGAAAGCCUGACCGAGCAACGCCGCGUGAGUGAAGAAGGUUUUCGGAUCGUAAAACUCUGUUGUUAGAGAAGAACAAGGACGUUAGUAACUGAACGUCCCCUGACGGUAUCUAACCAGAAAGCCACGGCUAACUACGUG